Long non-coding RNA from Microtus ochrogaster (prairie vole), 751 nucleotides. RefSeq lists it as uncharacterized. The record is from RefSeq and is a predicted model, not a curated record. The transcript has 6 exons. Lineage: Eukaryota; Metazoa; Chordata; Mammalia; Rodentia; Cricetidae.
CGCGGCCUAGGAGAAGGAAACGGAAAUCGCUACGACUCCCUCCCUCGGCCUCCACAGGCCGGACGGUCCUCUCAGAGAAAACUCCGGGACCGGAACCAAAUGAAAAUCUUACCAAGCCACCUUCAAUUUCCUUGAGAAAAAUCAGGAGUUCAAGGUAGCAAGUUUGAGUCCAGCCUAAGAUGAAUGGGACCCUGUCUCAAAACAAAACAAACAAAAAUUCACCUCAAGCGACCCUUCUUUGUCUUCAUACAGCCAGUUACGCGUGGAAACCACAAUAUAGAUCACUUUUGUGCUUAGAUCCCUUCGCUGGCUCUCCAGUUCACUCAAUCAAAGGCCACCUCCAAAGAGGACCUUCACUAAGUCCCCAGUGCUCACAUAGUGAUUCCAAACCAUCUGUUAACUCCAGUUACUGGUGAUCUGAUGCCCACUCUCUGCCUGAAUCAUCAGGUAGUGUAAAUGAACUCUUGCAGCCUCACAUACAAAUAAGAGAAAAAAGAAAGGAAGAAAGGAAAAAAACUACAAAGAGCAGAAGCCUUUCUGUUGUUCACAGAUAUAGCCCAAGUGCUCACAACAACAUCUGAUGUGGAAGGGGUACAUACCUGUCAAGGAUCACACUGGUAUGUCAGAGAGGAUGGCCUUCCUGAAGAUCAUUUAUGAAAAAAAAAUGAACCUAAAGCUAUUCUUGAGAACAUCGUGGUCACACACACCUGGAAUUUCAGCACUUGGGAUGUGACCACAAGAGGAUCAGGAA